ACGAAAUAUUUCCGACAUUCGUGUCGGAAUAAAUCAUCUUACACCUGUGAAAAUACGAAUCUUUGCUUUGGCUUGGGUGAAAACUCGAGCCAAAAGAUCAAAACCUUACAAUUUUAACCUGAGUCUGAGAAAGAAAAGAAUAAAUUAUUCA
RNAcentral lists this unclassified non-coding RNA (151 nucleotides) under uncultured fungus. RNAcentral's name for it is "sequence contains ITS1, 5.8S rRNA gene". Lineage: Eukaryota; Fungi. The record is from RNAcentral.